This 253-nucleotide ribosomal RNA is filed under the name uncultured bacterium. RNAcentral describes it as "partial small subunit ribosomal RNA". It matches the Rfam family "Bacterial small subunit ribosomal RNA", at positions 26 to 285 of the family's 1533-position model. The record is from RNAcentral.
AGGACGAACGCUGGCGGCGUGCUUAACACAUGCAAGUCGAGCGGAAAGGCCCUUCGGGGUACUCGAGCGGCGAACGGGUGAGUAACACGUGAGUAAUCUGCCCCUAGCUCUGGGAUAGCUCCGGGAAAACCGGGAUUAAUACCGGAUAUGACCACUUUAGACAUCUGUUGUGGUGGAAAGAAUUUCGGCUAGGGAUGAGCUCGCGGCCUAUCAGCUUGUUGGUGGGUAACGCCUACCAAGGCGACGACGGGUA